This 440-nucleotide ribosomal RNA is filed under the name uncultured bacterium. Its description in RNAcentral is "partial 16S ribosomal RNA". It matches the Rfam family "Bacterial small subunit ribosomal RNA", at positions 338 to 795 of the family's 1533-position model. The record is from RNAcentral.
CCUACGGGAGGCAGCAGUAGGGAAUAUUGCUCAAUGGGGGAAACCCUGAAGCAGCAACGCCGCGUGGAGGAUGAAGGUUUUAGGAUUGUAAACUCCUUUUGUGAGAGAAGUUAAUGACGGUAUCUCACGAAUAAGCACCGGCUAACUCCGUGCCAGCAGCCGCGGUAAUACGGAGGGUGCAAGCGUUACUCGGAAUCACUGGGCGUAAAGAGUGCGCAGGCGGGCUUGUAAGUCAGAUGUGAAAUCCUGUAGCUUAACUACAGAACUGCAUUUGAAACUAUGAGUCUAGAGUGUGGGAGAGGUAGGUGGAAUUCUUGGUGUAGGGGUAAAAUGCGUAGAUAUCAAGAGGAAUACUCAUUGCGAAGGCGACCUACUGGAACAUUACUGACGCUCAUGCACGAAAGCGUGGGGAGCAAACAGGAUUAGAUACCCUUGUAGUC